AAGUUGAGGGCGCCGCGCCUCCGCCUGGCCCCGCCGCUCCGUAGGAAACCUCCGCGCCUGCCUGGGCCCUUGGCCCUGGGUCGCCUCAUUUUACCCCAAACGGCCACUAUGUUGGGAGCUUACCGUGUGCCUAGCGCUGGGCUUUCUGUGUCAUGCGCAACCUAACAAGCUUGUGAAGUUAGCACCACUGUGCCGCCGGGCUGGAAACCCAGUCUCCGAGUCAGAAAGGGGGUUUCACCCAGUAAAGGGAGAACCAGAUGACUGGAAAGAAGAACCGAUGGGAACAGACCAGAGCUGGGUUGAACCCGGACCCUGCCACCACCUAGCUGUGUCACGCCAGCCAAUUUUUUGAAGUCUCCCAUGCUCCCUCCUUCAUUUCCCAGUAGUGACUGAGCACCUCCUGGUGAGCGUAUGGGCAGGUGGCUGUGUUCCUCCAGCACGUAUAGAUCUGUGUGCCCGGCACAUGAAAUGGAGUCUAUCACCACUGAGCACUUCACUUCAAGCUCUGGAAAAGGGCAGGGACCCCGGCCUGUCUUCAGCACCUUGAGCGGAGCUCCAAUAAUGAAGACUAGGGGAGACACCUUUGGGUCCAUUCCACAAACAUUACUGAGCACCUAGUCAAGCAUCCAUCCAUCCUUCCGGCCAGCCAGCCAGCCGGCAAAGCUCUACUGAAUGCCCACCAUGUACCAGGCACUCUAAGUGGCACUGGUGAAGAUUGCUUGCAAGAGCUGACACCUGGACCGAGUUCUGAAGGACAAACAGGAGGACGCCAGCCACAGCAGGAGGAGGACAGCAUUCCAGGCAGAGGGAGCAGCAUGCACAAAGGUCCAAGGCGAUGGGAGAGAGAAAGCACGCUCAUCUCAGGAGCACAGGGCCUCCAAAUGGCUAGAGCAUGAGCGGGUGGGUUGGGGGAGCAGGGAGACAGGGGCUAGAAGAGCAGGCAGGGGCAGGUAACGGAAGCCCCUAUUCAGAGAAUCUAGCAGGGAGCUUGGCCUUCACUCUGGAGGUCAUGGGGAACCGUCUUGGGAAGGUGUGGGAGCUGUAAAAUCAGGGUAGUGCUUUUGAAAUCGCUGGUGGCAAAGAGGAAGCUACGUUGGAUGGGGCGAGAGCAGAACUGGGGCACUUGUGAUGUGGCUGUUGUAAGAAGCUGGAAAGAAAGACCGGGAGGGCCCUCACUGGGACCUGGGAGAUAUUAAGGAGGCAGAAUGUAGAUGAUUUGGGGGCUGCCUGGAGUAGGGACUGAGGGGGGUCUGGGAUGAGGCCCCAGGUUUCCAGUUCAGGAGCCUGUGGACAUGGAGGCACUGAGCACAGAGGCGGGGUGUGGUGACAGGUUAGAGGCAGGGGGAGUCAAGGUGUGAGCAGGCUGGGGCACAGUGUCCUGCGGGACAUCCAAGAGGAGAGGAUGACAGACACUCUGCAGGUACUAGGGACUCAGACCUUCAGGAGGAGGUUUCUGCCAGAGGCAACUCCCAGCCUACCAGGGUACAGGCGGGACAGGGAGAAAUCUGACAAUUACAGAGCCCAGAGAGUGCAGAAGGGAGGUUCUCAGCCCUCUCCCCUCCCCUCCCCCCCCCCCACCCUUCUGCCAGCAUCCUGGGCCUCAGGAGUGCUGCAGAAGCCUCACUCUGUCUCCUGGACAGGGCCACCUCUCACCUGCCUUUGUCCCUAAACUAGGCCCGGAGCCCUCCUCCUUUCCAUCCCAUGCUAUAUCUCUCCCAGAGUAACUAGUCAUGCUUUGUUGUUGAACUCCUUCCUCAAUAAACUAUCAACACCAUGAGGGCAGGGCCUACUGGCCAGGCCUUAUUCUUCUUCGUAUUUGUUACCUCAGCACCCAGCAUGGAACCUGGCAUGCAGAUUAAUGUUUCAGACAUGAACAAAUGAAUGAGUGAGUGAGGAGUAAGCCAAUGACUACAGAAAAAAACACGAAGGCAUGUGUAAGGGUACUGCUAGCUGCUGUGACAUGCUCCCAAUAUUUCAGUGGCUUAAUGCUGUUAGAGAUCAUUUCUCAGGGGCACCGGGGUGGCUCGAUGGGUUGAGCACCCAACUUCAGCUCAGGUCAUGAUCUCAUGGUUUGUGAGUUCAAG
Molecule: RNA transcript, 2084 nt
Organism: Leopardus geoffroyi (Geoffroy's cat)
Lineage: Eukaryota; Metazoa; Chordata; Mammalia; Carnivora; Felidae
Gene name: anther-specific proline-rich protein APG-like
Exons: 4
Source: RefSeq, a predicted model, not a curated record